Molecule: long non-coding RNA, 284 nt
Filed under: Malus domestica (apple)
Lineage: Eukaryota; Viridiplantae; Streptophyta; Magnoliopsida; Rosales; Rosaceae
Description: long non-coding RNA (MDOM_LNC004333)
Source: RNAcentral
UCACAAUAUCUUGGAGGUUCAUGAUAUAAUCUUUGUUGCGAAAUCUUCGAAUCAGUCCAAGACUCACCUUACUUCACUAAGCCACAAGUGAGACAUGGUUAGGAGUUCUUGUUGAGCAUAUUCGAAGUACUUGCUGUGUUUUCAUCUAUCAUUGAGUCUAACGACGAUCCAUGAAGAUUAUGCCACAUUUAUCAACCCGACCAAGCCAUGAUACAUUAACGAAGUCAACACCAAGACAUACGUCUACAUCUACAUCAGCAAAGCAUCAGGAGAUUGAAGUCAUG